AGGAAAAUGUGAAGUUUUGAUCAUGGUACAGGAUGAAAAACGUAUACUUAAUUAAAAUAAGCAAACACAUGGGGAAUUGGUUGUGUAAGUCAGUGUGUUUGAACUUAUUUCCUUUGUGUCAGUAUGAUGUUCAUGUUGUGAAACAAACCGGGUGUGUCUAGCUCUUUUAUUUUUUUAAAGAUCAAAUUCCUAAGGAUCUGAGAUCGGGUGUAGUGUAUUCUUUUCAGUGUCGAUAUGCUGUGUCGCGUCGUAUGUGACCAAGCGGUCCGUCAUUUACACCGGCACCCGAGUAUAGGAACACUAUUAUAUGUGUUUCUCUUCGUUAUUUAACAACUUCAAUUUGGCAGAUAAAAAACUGUAAACAAUAUUUGCAUAACUCAAACGAACAAUUACAUUGUACAAGAGGAUGAGGAAAGUGCCAAAAGUGGCGAAACACAAACGAGACUAUGCAAGGUGCUCACCACUAGACAAGAAACAAAGACAAGAAACAAAGACAAGAAACAAAGAGGCAAGAAACAAGGACAGCAAGAAACACGACAAGGCAGAUUAAAUGAAAAGAUUUAGAGAAUGAAAAGGUAGAGAGAAUGAAAGGACAAAGAGAGAAAUGUUAGAAUGAAAGACCUGGAGGAUAUUGUUAUUGAGUCGUGAUAAGUGAGUGUGAGCUAGGUACGUCAGGAGUGUAGGAAGUAAUAGUCAUGAGAUGUAAGUCUUGCGCAGUAUAACUCUCGAGUAGUAAUCUCACACUUACGCAU
This is a non-coding RNA of Paramuricea clavata, 752 nucleotides long. The record is from the annotation of a GenBank genome assembly. Lineage: Eukaryota; Metazoa; Cnidaria; Anthozoa; Malacalcyonacea; Plexauridae.